AUUGAACGCUGGCGGCAGGCCUAACACAUGCAAGUCGAGCGGAUGAAGGGAGCUUGCUCCUGGAUUCAGCGGCGGACGGGUGAGUAAUGCCUAGGAAUCUGCCUGGUAGUGGGGGAUAACGUCCGGAAACGGGCGCUAAUACCGCAUACGUCCUGAGUGAGAAAGUGGGGGAUCUUCGGACCUCACGCUAUCAGAUGAGCCUAGGUCGGAUUAGCUAGUUGGUGGGGUAAAGGCCUACCAAGGCGACGAUCCGUAACUGGUCUGAGAGGAUGAUCAGUCACCCUGGAACUGAGACACGGUCCAGACUCCUACGGGGGGCCGCAGUGGGGAAUAUUGGACAAUGGGCGAAAGCCUGAUCCAGCCAUGCCGCGUGUGUGAAGAAGGUCUUCGGAUUGUAAAGCACUUUAAGUUGGGAGGAAGGGCAGUAAGUUAAUACCUUGCUGUUUUGACGUUACCAACAGAAUAAGCACCGGCUAACUUCGUG
RNAcentral lists this ribosomal RNA (484 nucleotides) under uncultured bacterium. RNAcentral's name for it is "partial 16S ribosomal RNA". It matches the Rfam family "Bacterial small subunit ribosomal RNA", at positions 30 to 507 of the family's 1533-position model. The record is from RNAcentral.